RNAcentral lists this ribosomal RNA (468 nucleotides) under uncultured bacterium. RNAcentral describes it as "partial 16S ribosomal RNA". It matches the Rfam family "Bacterial small subunit ribosomal RNA", at positions 28 to 507 of the family's 1533-position model. The record is from RNAcentral.
GACGAACGCUGGCGGCGUGCUUAACACAUGCCAGUCGAACGGAAAGGCCCUGCUUUUGUGGGGUGCUCGAGUGGCGAACGGGUGAGUAACACGUGAGUAACCUGCCCUUGACUUUGGGAUAACUUCAGGAAACUGGGGCUAAUACCGGAUAGGAGCUCCUGCUGCUUGGUGGGGGUUGGAUAGUUUCGGCGGUUGGGGAUGGACUCGCGUCUUAUCAGCUUGUUGGUGGGGUAGUGGCUUACCAAGGCUUUGACGGGUAGCCGGCCUGCGAGGGUGACCGGCCAAAAUGGGACUGAAAUACGGCCCAGACUCCAACGGGAGGCAGCAGUGGGGAAUAUUGCACAAGGGGGGGAAGCCUGAUGCAGCAACGCCGCGUGCGGGAUGACGGCCAGCGGGUUGGAAACCGCAUUCGCCUGUGACGAAGCGUGAGUGACGGUAAUGGGUAAAGAAGCACCGGCUAACUACGUG